UAGAAUUAUGUAUACUGAUGAUCAGUAUUACCAAAAAAUACAAAAAUAUUUCUAAAUAUUUUUCCAAAUGUUUCCUAUUCUAAGUUCUGUUUUCAAAUCUUAAAGUAAAUACGUAAACACUAUAAUCUGCACUUUAUACUAUGUUUGCUAUACUCUUUCUUUCUUUCUUUUUUCUUUCUUUUUUCUUUUUUUUUUUCUUUUUGGCUUGACCAACAGAAAUUUAUUUCUCACAGUUCUGGAGGCUAGAAGUCUAAGACCAAGGUUGUCAUCAGGGCUGGUUUCUUUUGAGGUCUCCUUGGCUUGUAGAUAGAUAUCUUCUCCCUGUACCUUUUGUUUUUCCAGCUUUAUUGAGAUAUAAUUGAUAUAUAACAUUGUGUAAGUUUAAGGUAUACAAUGCAUUGAUUUGAUGAACUUACAUAUAGCAAAAAGAUUACCACCAUAGCAUUAGCUAAUACCUAUAUCCUAUCACAGAAUUAUCAUUUUUUUUUUUUUUUUUGGUGAGAACAUUUAAGAUCUACUCUCUUAGCAACUUUAAAUUAUAUAAUACACUAUUAUUAAUUGUGAUCACCAUGUUGUACAGUAAAUCCCCAGAACUCACUUAUAACAGGAAGUUCUCUGACCAACAUCUCCCCAUUUCCUCCACCCCCAAUCCCUAUCAACCAUCAUCCAACUCUCUGCCUCUAAUAGCUCAGCUCGUUUAGAUUUCACAUAUAAGUGAUAUCAUAUAGUAUAUGUCCCUGUCUUUCUGUCUUAUUUCACUUAGCAUAAUGACCUCAAGGUCCAUCCAUGUUGCCACAAAUGGAAGGAUCUCCUUUCUCAUGGCUGAAUAAUAUUUCACUACAUACGCACAUCUUCCUUAUCUAUUCCUCUGUUGAUGGACAUCUAGGUGGUUUCCAUGUUUUGGCUUUGUGAAUAAUGCUGCAAUGAACAUGGGAGUGCAGAUGUCUCUUUGAAAUCCUGCCUCCUCCUUUGGAACAGUGCACAAGGGCCGGCCCCCUUUUCUUCACUUCCUCAUCAGUACUUGCUAUUUCUUAUAUUCUUCAUAUUAGCCAUUGUCACUGGUGUUAAGUGACAUCUCAUUGUGGUUUUCAUUUGCAUUUCCUUGAGGAUUAGUUGAUCUGGAACAUCCUUUCAUGUAUCUGAUGACCAUAUGUAUGUCCUUUGGAAAAAUGUCUUUUCAGAUCCUCUGCCCAUUUUUUUUAAUCUUUUUUUUUUUUUUUUUUUUUUUUUUUUUUUUUUUUAAGUAAGCUCUACACUCAGUGUGGCACUUGAACUCAUGACGCCAAGAUCAAGAAUCUAAUGCUCUAUGGACUGAGCCAGCCAGGUGCUCCUCCUCUGCCCAUUUUAAAAUCAGACUAUUUGGUUUUUUGUUAUUGAAAUUUGCCAUACUCAUAAAUCAAACUUCAGCUCUAAUAGAAAGCUUAAUCUGACAGAAAUCUUGAUUAAAUUUUAGAGAUUGUUUUUACUCAUCUUCAUCUCCCAUAGAAAGACUCUGCUUUGGUUAGACUUAUCAGAGCCAUAGCCAGGGGUUUCUGGCUAUUUGGUCAAGACCUGGGAUCUCUCUUCUUUGAUGUUCUGCAGCUCUUUCCUCAGUCUUACAUUUUUUGGGUCACUUCUAAUCCUAAAAAGAAACACCCUUGGUUUAGAUAGUGUGUACAAUAGAAAAUAAUGGUGAUGAUGAAACUAAUAUUUAUAGAAUUCUUCCCAUAUUGCAGGCAAUAUGUAAUACAGAGUUUAGUUUUCACAGCAGUCCUAUGAAGCAAAGUUACUGUUAUGAUUCCCAUUUUACAGAUAAAAGAACAGGCACAGAGAAAUUAAGACAUUUGUCUAAUAAAUAUCUGUCUUUAGACUCCACACUCUAAACCACUAAAUUUGUUAGAGUGGGGGAAGUAGGCCAGAAAGUUGCAAGAGCAGUUAAUUGCUUAUUUUAGUGUAAAUUACAUGUACUGGUGACUCCUGUUAGUAGAAAUAUUAGGAAAAUAUAAUAUGAAGUCCACUAAUUGAGGCUGUUAUCUUAGCGUAACAGACUGUUUCCAUCCAAGAAUAUGACAUAGAGAAGUUGCCCAACUUCCAAAGAUUUAUAAUAUCGAAUAAAAUUCAGCUAAACUAUGAUUUUACAAAAAUGACUAACAUCUUUCUUUUUAUUAAGAGUGCUUUCUUUUCUGGAUUAUACCACCACACAUCUUGCCGCAGAAGACGACAAGGAAAUGACAUAGGGUUGAGGAAAAGGCAGGGGGAUAAAGUUUCAGGAAAAAAUCACUAGUUGAGGUCUUGAGUGGGUCAAGUGGAUUAUAAAUUGGAAAAGAUGAUAGGUAUGAAAAGCUGCUGAAAAUAGUUUGUAUUUCAGAAAAAAUAAGUUUUUGAAAACCAAAACUUAAAGUGAUUUUUAUAUUUGAAGGGAUUUAUAACUUCAAAAAGCAUCUCCAUGUUACCUUGCUAAGCUGGCCUACAUUUAAACUCUUCAAGUUAUCUUGCAUAAAGUGAAAUCUGUAUAUAAUAUUUGUUUGGUCUCUAAAAAGUAUACACUGUUUAUCUGCAUCUGCUCAAAUUCUUGAGAUUAACUUAUUGUGAGAGGAUAUUUUUCGGUACCUUUUUCGACUACUGCAAAUUUAUUUGUAAUUUAAUGUAUUUUAACAUUGCGAAUGUACAUUUUCUAAUAAAAUUAUUAUGUAUAUGUACCAUAAGCCUUAAAAGUAUUUACUCAUACUUUCAAUACAUAUUCAAGAGAUACCUACUAUGUACCAAUCACCAUGUCAAAAUCACAGAGCACCUCCCCUCAUGGGACUUACAUAUUGACAGGAACAUUAGACAUUAAUUAGUGAAGUGGUUGCACAAAUGAUUAUGUUUAAGGGAAGGGCGACGAGAGAGAUGUAUAGGAAACUAUGGGGAUGAUUAACAGAGGGUCUGAGCUGAACAGGAAUGUCAGGGACUGUUUUGCUGAGGAUAUAAUGGUUAACUGAGGCCUGGUGGAGAGAAAGGUUUGGACUGGUGCAUUUCAGGCCAAAGGCAUGGCAGGUGCAAAGCCCUGGAGGUGGUAAGAUAUUGGGGCUUUCAUGGAACCACAAAUAGAUCUAAGGUGGUUAGAGUACAGUGACUGAGAAAAAGUCUUAUUAGUUGAGGAUAUAGAGGGGCAAUUCAAGGUCUUGUAGACCUCGGGCGGUAGGUCUCCAGUGGUAAGAGGUAUUCUAACUUUACGGAUGGUUGGAGUUAGGAGUCUAAAGAAUGUCUUCAAGACUCUUUUUUCUUUAGUUCUACAUGCUUGACUUUAUUUUCAGGUACUUUCCAUUCUGUGGCAGGUUGGGCACUGUCAGCUCCAAUCUUGCAACAUCUUUGUAAGUCACAAUUCCAGAGAAAAUUAGCUCAGGCAGAAAUAUCAGAAGAGGCUCCAACUAGCCAACUUUAGCAUAUAUACCUAUCCCUGAACUGCCCAGAUGGGCAGGGAAUGGAAUCCUCUACUAACCCAGGCCUGGAUCCUGCGUCCAUUCUGGGAAUGCAAUUUGUAUGUGGAAGAGACAGGAGGGGAAGAACCUGGUCAGGCUUGUCUUAAUUACAUGGACUAAAAAGAUUUAAAACUGAAUGGAGGAGUUUCCAUCAAAGGAAGGUCUGUUGAGCUGACAAACAGAUGUUUAUUACUAUACCGUCACCUCCUGUUUUCUCAUCAUUGCAAUCGUAGAAAAUAUUACAUGCACCACUGUGGAAAAUAGAUGAAGUUGCUUGUCCCCAGCUUCUUCAGACAACAUAGGCUCCACCAAUCAACUCAGCUCUGAAUUGGUCAAUUUUCCAUUUAGGAGUAUAACGCAUUUGUGACAUACCAAUGUCAGGAAGCAUGAUACCAUAUUAGGUAUUUUGGAUUUAAGAGAAAUGGGAAGACAUUUAAGGUAAUGUGGUCUCUAAAAAAGAAACUUGUGCUCGUAGAAAUGUCUGAUUCCAGGUGCGGGGUAAAAUGAAGUUAAGACAUCUUGUGCCAGAAAGCAAGAGUGUUCUCAAAGACUACACAAGUCUUGCCAAAAGGACACAGGAGUCAAAUAAAGAGACUACUACUGGCCCAAAAUAGGGCAGUUAAAGGAUUGAAAAGAGUAUCUGUAGCUGAUUUAAACACAACAAAUAUGUGAAAAUCUAUGAGUUAAAAAUGAUAUUAAAAAUAAGAAAUGGGCUCCUGGUAUCUCAGUUGAGUGACCAACUCUUGGUUUCACUCAGGUCAUGAUUUCAGGGUCAUGAGAUUGAGCCCUCCAUUGGGCUCUGAGCUCAACAGGGAGUCUGCUUGAGGUCUCUCCCUGUGCCCUUCCCCAACGCUUGCUCUCUUUCUCUCUAAAAUAAAUAGGAAUGCCUGGGUGGCUGAGUCAGUUAAGCAUCUGCCUUCAGCUCAGGACAUGAUCUCUGGGUCCUGGGAUCGAGCCUGACUCCUUACUCAGCGGGGAGUCUGCUUCUCCCUCUCCCUCUGCUCAUGCUUUCUCCCCCCACCCCUUUCUCUCUGUCAAGUAAAUAAAUAAAAUCUUUAAAAAAAAAAAAAAAA
This 4513-nucleotide long non-coding RNA is filed under the name Canis lupus familiaris (dog). Its description in RNAcentral is "lncRNA (ENSCAFG00845026877.1)". Lineage: Eukaryota; Metazoa; Chordata; Mammalia; Carnivora; Canidae. The record is from RNAcentral.